This 217-nucleotide long non-coding RNA is filed under the name Vigna radiata. Its description in RNAcentral is "long non-coding RNA (VRAD_LNC001651)". Lineage: Eukaryota; Viridiplantae; Streptophyta; Magnoliopsida; Fabales; Fabaceae. The record is from RNAcentral.
AACCUGCUUUUACCACCCUUUAGUGGAUUAGGCAAUUCAUGUGUUUUACUUUUACAUAGUAUAUCGCUGUAAAAAUCAUAAAAAAAAGCUAAAGAUUAUCAUCGAGAUUUCGAAAAUAUGAUGAACAAAUUAACAGAAUUCAAUGUACGUUACUCAAAUUUAUAAUAUACAUCAGUUUAUAGUUUGAUGUCAGUUUAAAAAAUCUACAAUACCACUC